AUGAUAUCUAUAUUGUGCUGAUCCACAUUAAAAAUCUAUGCAAACCUCCCCGCUUUCUGACGGUCUGUUGUACAUCCAGGUCUUUUCAGUGUUCGCCGUGCACCUUACAUUUCAUCAUUCGUCUCUCCACCGCCAUACCCCUCCCCCCUCUGCAAAAAGAAGCAAAACCUUUUCUCAGAUUGCGGUGAGGGUUUGGAAUGCACUGAUCGAGAAUGUAGUGGAGGCAAGGUAAAUCGGGACUUUCCAUAGGCAAUUACACUUCUCUAACAAGGGGAGAAUGGCACUUGAUGUUAAAGUUGAGCGUAAGACCAUCGGGGAGUUGCAGACCUCAGGACACAGAGAAGCAACCCACAUUGACCAAAUCCUCAACUUCCACAGCAACCAACCCAACGUCCACAAAGAAAGCUGCAUUAGGACACUAUUUAAACGGGCCAGGACUCACUGCAACGCUCCAGAACUACAUAAGAAAGAGGCCAGUGUUUUGUUAUUGCAUCAAGUCCGUGAGGGUCUCCGAAAAUGAACCUAACAUUUGGUGUUGCGAGCAGGGUUCCAACAUGUCCAGCAGUCUUACAUGGAGAACCAAAUAAGUGAUCGUUCGAGUGUCGAUGGAGCAAGACUGAGGGGGCCCGCAAGAUACGAUUCACCUUGGUCUCUCUCACUAACCUGCCACCCAUGUGACCCCUCAUCCCUGCAUGACUCUGUACUGAUGGAACCCUGAGAUGACUCACGGUCUUGAACACUGCUAAAUCCUAAUGCCUGGAGGUUUGAGCCCCCAGGUUAGCAAAGAAGAAUCCAGGAGGUUAGAGUCCCCUGGUGGCCGGAGUUAGAGUCCCUAGGUCAGAUAAAAUUGACUAACUAAAUCGGGGUGGGGGGUUUGGUGGUGGUUGGGGGGGUUAGUAUAAGAAUGGUAAAGUAGAAUAAGUGUUCAGACGUAAGGUAUAGGAUAAGUACAGUGUCUGUCUGUCUCAACCACCCUGCCUCAGACUGCUUGUUACGUGGAGAGAUCCCCCAUGCGAAGGUCAGGUCCCUGAAGUGGGUGUUGAGACUAAGGAUACUGUUGUCUAUAUAUAGAAAUAAGUAAAAAGUAAAAGUGCUAAAAAUGGGACAAACGUUAGCUAAGUCGGGUGUGGGAACCCCUUUACAUUGGUUAUGCUGGGAUGACCCCAAAAAUGAAGUACAGUUCAGACAUCUGUCGGCAUGCCUAAACAAAAAAUUGGGAAAUGAGAAUUGGCCAUUAGGGGGAAUGUGGGAUAUAGAUGUAUGUAUUAAAGCUGGGGAGGCAUUGUGGACACGUAAUGCAGGAAGCAAAUGGAAAGGGUUAAUGUCGUCCUGGAGAAAGAGAGCUGAGGACCUGACUGAGAAAUCAAAACUGGCCAGUUGGGUGGAUAAUGAACGUAGGAGAGGAAUUAGUGCAUGUGGUAGUGAGGGAAAACCUCAACCUUGGGAGGUGUUAAAGCUGCAGUGUGAGGAUCAUGAGAUGAAUGGACAGGAAAGGGUUAAACAAGAAAUGCUGGAAAGGGAAAGACGAGACAAAGAACGGGGAUUAUAGUGGCAGGCCGCGUUGACAGAAAAUAAAAUAUCGGAGGUACCGCCUGACAUAUCCAGCAUGCUGAUGUUGCUCCAAAAUAAUGGUACAGAUGAGCAAGAUGAGGAGGACAGAACCCUCUGCUCCAUCUGGACCACUACCCCCUCCCCAAAUCUACCUGUCUUUGGCCAACCUACAUCUGCAGGCAUCCCAACACUGCCAUCAGUCCCAGCAAUCGCCCGUAGCCCUAUCACCGCCACCGUAUGCUGACCAAACCAAACCUCUUGCUGUAGAAUCUCCAAGCCCUUCAGUAUUCAGCCCACAUGAAUCUCCUGAAAAACCCACAGCUUGUACAGACCCUAUCUCCUGUCGUACUAGGUCUAAAACUAAACAGACAAACAGGAAACAGGAUACGGAACAGACUGCUUGUGGACGAAGGGAUGGACGUCAGGAUUCUUUUAAAACUCACAGGGGAAGCCUGAUAAAACGUCCUCAGGAAGAUGCAUCCAGAAUUCCCUGUAUGUUAAAAACCUACUCCAGGCAAUCCUCCUCCCUAAACAAUUGGCCAUUAUCAAAUGCGCUGCCCAUGCCUCCUGCAGUUACUCAGGGCAACACGGGCUGAUCAGGCUUCCAAACAGGUUGCUGCAGAUCAAACUUUUAUUGUGCCCUCUAUGAACAAGCAGGCCUUUGGGUCACCCCAGUCGGCCAAGUGUGUAUAUUGUUACCUAUGCUUGUCGACUGUCUGCAUUCUGAUACCCACCUUGGCAAGGAUGGAAUGAGUGGUAUCAUGCUCUGCAUCUGGUGGCUGAAGCAGCCCAGUCUCGUAUAGCAUCAUGUUUGACAUGCCAGCAAAACAAUGUUGGUCAGGGGGUGAGAUGUUCACCAGGAAAAACAUCCUUGCCAGGUGGACCGGUUGAAUGCAUUCAGCUGGAUUUUAUUGAAUUACUGUGUGUAAACUGUUAUAAAUAUUGUCUUGUCAUUGCAGAUGCAUUCAGUAGGUGGAUAGAGGCUUUUCCAACAACAAAUAACAAAGCCUUAACAGUAGUAAAAUUAUUAUUAACUGAAAGCCAUUCACUUCAGCAGCUUGAAAUUACAUUCUGCCACUUCAGCAACUUGAAAUUGCCUCCUGUCGUUAGCUGUCACUUCGCGAACGAUCAAUACAGUAUCCUGCUCUCUUUGUAUUUUCGAUGUAGUAAUUGUUUUUGAUUCAUGUUAUUGUCCGAUGUGGUGAUUGUUUCAUGUAACAUACCCUUGUGAGAUUCAAAAUUGCUUUAUGUAUAAUGCACUCGAUAAGGUAUGAAAAGUGGGGACUGUCCACUGCUCAAGGAGAAUCGCUUAUGAGACUCUGCAUUCUGUGCCGGCUUGAGUGCAGUGAUCCUCCACGGCUUGUGCUUGCUUAAUAAUAAAGGAUUUGUGUUUUUCUAAA
Molecule: long non-coding RNA, 2951 nt
Organism: Stegostoma tigrinum
Lineage: Eukaryota; Metazoa; Chordata; Chondrichthyes; Orectolobiformes; Stegostomatidae
Exons: 4
Source: RefSeq, a predicted model, not a curated record